GAUGAACGCUGGCGGCGUGCCUAAUACAUGCAAGUCGAGCGAACAGACGAGGAGCUUGCUCCUCUGACGUUAGCGGCGGACGGGUGAGUAACACGUGGAUAACCAACCUAUAAGACUGGGAUAACUUCGGGAAACCGGAGCUAAUACCGGAUAAUAUAUUGAACCGCAUGGUUCAAUAGUGAAAGACGGUUUUGCUGUCACUUAUAGAUGGAUCCGCGCCGCAUUAGCUAGUUGGUAAGGUAACGGCUUACCAAGGCAAGGAUGCGUAGCCGACCUGAGAGGGUGAUCGGCCACACUGGAGCUGAGACACGGUCCAGACUCCUACGGGAGGCAGCAGUAGGGAAUCUUCCGCAAUGGGCGAGAGCUUGACAGAGCAACGCCGCGUGAGUGAUGAAGAUCUUCGGAUCGUAAAACUCUGUUAUUAGGGAAGAACAAAUGUGUAAGUAACUAUGCACGUCUUGACGGUACCGAAUCAGAAAGCCACGGCUAACUACGUG
RNAcentral lists this ribosomal RNA (497 nucleotides) under uncultured bacterium. Its description in RNAcentral is "partial 16S ribosomal RNA". It matches the Rfam family "Bacterial small subunit ribosomal RNA", at positions 28 to 507 of the family's 1533-position model. The record is from RNAcentral.